GAUGAACGCUAGCGGGAGGCCCAACACAUGCAAGCCGAGCGGUAUUGUUUCUUCGGAAAUGAGAGAGCGGCGUACGGGUGCGUAACACGUGUGCAACCUGCCUUUAUCUGGGGGAUAGCCUUUCGAAAGGAAGAUUAAUACUCCAUAAUAUAUUGAACGGCAUCGUUUAAUAUUGAAAGCUCCGGCGGAUAGAGAUGGGCACGCGCAAGAUUAGCUAGUUGGUGAGGUAACGGCUCACCAAGGCGAUGAUCUUUAGGGGGCCUGAGAGGGUGAUCCCCCACACUGGUACUGAGACACGGACCAGACUCCUACGGGAGGCAGCAGUGAGGAAUAUUGGGCAAUGGGUGCAAGCCUGAACCAGCCAUCCCGCGUGAAGGACGACUGCCCUAUGGGUUGUAAACUUCUUUUGUAUAGGGAUAAACCUACCCUCGAGAGGGUAGCUGAAGGUACUAUACGAAUAAGCACCGGCUAACUCCGUG
This 479-nucleotide ribosomal RNA is filed under the name uncultured bacterium. Its description in RNAcentral is "partial 16S ribosomal RNA". It matches the Rfam family "Bacterial small subunit ribosomal RNA", at positions 28 to 507 of the family's 1533-position model. The record is from RNAcentral.